Molecule: ribosomal RNA, 374 nt
Filed under: uncultured organism
Description: partial 16S ribosomal RNA
Rfam family: Bacterial small subunit ribosomal RNA
Source: RNAcentral
GUAGGUGGCAAGCGUUGUCCGGAAUUAUUGGGCGUAAAGCGCGCGCAGGUGGUUCUUUAAGUCUGAUGUGAGAGCCCCCGGCUCAACCGGGGAGGGUCAUUGGAAACUGGGGAACUUGAGUGCAGGAGAGGAAAGUGGAAUUCCACGUGUAGCGGUGAAAUGCGUAGAUAUGUGGAGGAACACCAGUGGCGAAGGCGACUUUCUGGCCUGUAACUGACACUGAGGCGCGAAAGCGUGGGGAGCAAACAGGGAUUAGAUACCCUGGUAGUCCACGCCGUAAACGAUGAGUGCUAAGUGUUGGGGGGGUUUCCCGCCCCUCAGUGCUGCAGCUAACGCAUUAAGCACUCCGCCUGGGGAGUACGGCCGCAAGACUG